Molecule: long non-coding RNA, 785 nt
Filed under: Melopsittacus undulatus (budgerigar)
Lineage: Eukaryota; Metazoa; Chordata; Aves; Psittaciformes; Psittaculidae
Description: lncRNA (ENSMUNG00000019074.1)
Source: RNAcentral
GUCAACAAAACCCAACUUAGGUGGAAUGAUUUCAUCCUGUUCUACAUACUGAGUGCCUUGCCAACAUCACUGCUCCUAGCAUGGUCUAUCCCAGGUACAAGCUAAUGGGGUGCAGGGCUGCAGCAUUUCUGUGCAGAUUAGUGGAGCCCUGAACUAAAAGAUGCUGGAUCUGUCAUAUGUGGGCAGGAUCCCACUUGGCUUUAGAGUCUAAUGGCCUCUGGGAACUAUCUGAACCCUUUUCUCUUUAACAAGUCCCUUCCCAUUCCCAACAUCAGCUAACCACCAUCCCAUGCAGAAAGAAGAAAAGCUACCACAAAAUGGCAGCUAAAUUGUGAUGACCUUGUCAGUGGCUCCAGGCCUGGAUUUGUCACUAGUGUCUUUCAUGUGGAAGGUAUUAAGGGAGCAGUGACACAGGCUAGAAGAAAGGGCUGGAGCCACCGUGUCAGGAACGUCAAACAUCACACAGCACAUGGUGCUGCUCUGCAGGGCUUCUUUUCCCUGGCCCCUUCCCUUGAAAUAGUUUUCCUUAAAUCAUUAAACUUUGCGUUUCCUUUCAGCUCCACAGAGAAGCCCAGCAAAUACAGAAAUAGUCUCUGGAGAUGUUCUGCAGAUAUUUCUGCUUCUUCAGUCUGUGUCUUUUCCUUCCAACCCAAAGGAGGUGCUCCCUGGGCCACGGGUCGGACACAGCAUCCCUCCCUGGAUUUGAGAACCUCACCACGGGAUACAACAAGUACCUCCGGCCCUACUUUGGUGGAGAACCUGUUCAAAUUGCAAUGAGUCUGGAC